GGAAUAGGACGGCGCUCCUAUUUUGUUGGUUUCUAGGAGAGCCGUAAUGAUUAAUAGGGACAGUUGGGGGCAUCCGUAUUCAGUUGUCAGAGGUGAAAUUCUUGGAUUUACUGAAGACGAACUACUGCGAAAGCAUUUGCCAAAGAUGUUUUCGUUAAUCAGUGAACGAAAGUUAGGGGAUCGAAGACGAUCAGAUACCGUCGUAGUCUUAACCAUAAACUAUGCCGACUAGGGAUCGGGCGAUGUUAUUGUAUUGACUCGCUCGGCACCUUUCGAGAAAUCAAAGUGUUUGGGUUCUGGGGAGUAUGGUCGCAAGGCUGAAACUUAAAGAAAUUGACGGAAGGGCACCACCAGGAGUGGAGCCUGCGGCUUAAUUUGACUCAACACGGGGAAACUCACCAGGUCCAGAUACACGUAGGAUUGACAGAUUGAGAGCUCUUUCUUGAUUGUGUAGUUGGUGGUGCAUGGCCGUUCUUAGUUGGUGGAGUGAUUUGUCUGCUUAAUUGCGAUAACGAACGAGACCUUCAUCGUUAACUAGCCCGGCUCGCCUUGGCGGGUCGCCGGCUUCUUAGCGAGACUUUUGGCUUAAGCCAAAGGAAGUUGGAGGCAAUAACAGGUCUGUGAUGCCCUUAGAUGUUCUGGGCUGCACGCGCGCUACACUGACAGAGGCAACGAGUUUCGUUCCUUGGCCGGAAGGCCUGGGUAAUCUGUAAGCUUGCCC
This 721-nucleotide ribosomal RNA is filed under the name uncultured fungus. RNAcentral describes it as "SSU rRNA". It matches the Rfam family "Eukaryotic small subunit ribosomal RNA", at positions 819 to 1566 of the family's 1831-position model. The record is from RNAcentral. Lineage: Eukaryota; Fungi.